This 468-nucleotide ribosomal RNA is filed under the name uncultured bacterium. Its description in RNAcentral is "partial 16S ribosomal RNA". It matches the Rfam family "Bacterial small subunit ribosomal RNA", at positions 28 to 507 of the family's 1533-position model. The record is from RNAcentral.
GACGAACGCUGGCGGCGUGCUUAACACAUGCAAGUCGAACGGAAAGGCCCUGCUUUUGUGGGGUGCUCGAGUGGCGAACGGGUGAGUAACACGUGAGUAACCUGCCCUUGACUUUGGGAUAACUUCAGGAAACUGGGGCUAAUACCGGAUAGGAGCUCCUGCUGCAUGGUGGGGGUUGGAAAGUUUCGGCGGUUGGGGAUGGACUCGCGGCUUAUCAGCUUGUUGGUGGGGUAGUGGCUUACCAAGGCUUUGACGGGUAGCCGGCCUGAGCGGGUGACCGGCGACAUUGGGACUGAGAUACGGCACAGACUCCUACGGGAGGCAGCAGUGGGGAAUAUUGCACAAUGGGCGGAAGCCUGAUGCAGCAACGCCGCGUGCGGGAUGACGGCCUUCGGGUUGUAAACCGCUUUCGCCUGUGACGAAGCGUGAGUGACGGUAAUGGGUAAAGAAGCACCGGCUAACUACGUG